UACAGAGGGUGCGAGCGUUAAUCGGAAUUACUGGGCGUAAAGCGCGCGUAGACGGUUUUGUAAGUCAGAUGUGAAAUCUCUGGGCUCAACCUGGGAACUGCAUUUGUGACUGCACGGCUGGAGUGCGGCAGAGGGGGAUGGAAUUCCGCGUGUAGCAGUGAAAUGCGUAGAUAUGCGGAGGAACACCGAUGGCGAAGGCAAUCCCCUGGGCCUGCACUGACGCUCAUGCACGAAAGCGUGGGGAGCAAACAGG
Molecule: ribosomal RNA, 253 nt
Filed under: uncultured bacterium
Lineage: Bacteria
Description: partial 16S ribosomal RNA
Rfam family: Bacterial small subunit ribosomal RNA
Source: RNAcentral